RNAcentral lists this ribosomal RNA (274 nucleotides) under uncultured bacterium. RNAcentral's name for it is "partial 16S ribosomal RNA". It matches the Rfam family "Bacterial small subunit ribosomal RNA", at positions 523 to 796 of the family's 1533-position model. The record is from RNAcentral.
AUACGGAGGGUGCAAGCGUUAAUCGGAAUUACUGGGCGUAAAGCGUACGUAGGCGGUUCGUUAAGUUAGAUGUGAAAGCCCCGGGCUUAACCUGGGAACUGCAUUUAAAACUGGCGAACUAGAGUUGAGUAGAGGGGAGUGGAAUUUCAGGUGUAGCGGUGAAAUGCGUAGAGAUCUGAAGGAACACUAGUGGCGAAGGCGACUCCCUGGACUCGAACUGACGCUGAGGUACGAAAGCGUGGGUAGCAAACGGGAUUAGAAACCCUAGUAGUCC